Molecule: non-coding RNA, 90 nt
Organism: Epithele typhae
Lineage: Eukaryota; Fungi; Basidiomycota; Agaricomycetes; Polyporales; Epitheliaceae
Source: the annotation of a RefSeq genome assembly
GCCCUCGUUGUCUAAUGGUCAUGACGUCGGACUUCUACUUAGUGCGCUCAGGCGAUCCGGAGGUUGCGAGUUCGAGUCUCGCCGGGGGCU